RNAcentral lists this ribosomal RNA (253 nucleotides) under uncultured bacterium. Its description in RNAcentral is "partial 16S ribosomal RNA". It matches the Rfam family "Bacterial small subunit ribosomal RNA", at positions 524 to 776 of the family's 1533-position model. The record is from RNAcentral.
UACGUAGGGGGCAAGCGUUGUCCGGAAUCAUUGGGCGUAAAGCGCGUGUAGGCGGCCCGGUAAGUCCGCUGUGAAAGUCGGGGGCUCAACCCUCGAAUGCCGGUGGAUACUGUCGGGCUAGAGUCCGGAAGAGGAGAGUGGAAUUCCUGGUGUAGCGGUGAAAUGCGCAGAUAUCAGGAAGAACACCCGUGGCGAAGGCGGCUCUCUGGGACGGUACUGACGCUGAGACGCGAAAGCGUGGGGAGCGAACAGG